This 465-nucleotide ribosomal RNA is filed under the name uncultured Methanosaeta sp. RNAcentral describes it as "bacterial SSU rRNA". It matches the Rfam family "Archaeal small subunit ribosomal RNA", at positions 874 to 1335 of the family's 1478-position model. Lineage: Archaea; Methanobacteriati; Methanobacteriota; Methanomicrobia; Methanotrichales; Methanotrichaceae. The record is from RNAcentral.
AGAGCACAGCGAACGGGAGGAGCGUGCGGUUUAAUUGGAUUCAACGCGGAAUCUUACCGGGACCGACAGCAAUAUGAAGGCCAGGCUGAAGACUUUGCCGGAUUAGCUGAGAGGUGGUGCAUGGCCGUCGUCAGUUCGUACUGUGAAGCAUCCUGUUAAGUCAGGCAACGAGCGAGACCCACGCCCACAGUUGCCAGCGUACCCUCUGGAGUGACGGGUACACUGUGGGGACCGCCGCUGCUAAAGCGGAGGAAGGAAUGGGCAACGGUAGGUCAGUAUGCCCCGAAUAUCCCGGGCUACACGCGAGCUACAAUGGUUGGUACAAUGGGUAUCUACCCCGAAAGGGGACGGGAAUCUCCUAAAACCAAUCUUAGUUCGGAUUGAGGGCUGCAACUCGCCCUCAUGAAGCUGGAAUCCGUAGUAAUCGCGUUUCAACAGAACGCGGUGAAUACGUCCCUGCUCCUU